AUGAUGCCGACAAAAAGCAAUUACUGGAACGAAACUUGGAUGGUGAUAGAUGUCAACAGAUUUCCGGUGAUUCAUAGUUGGACAAUGCUGGCCGAUGGAAGGGCUUGUGAGGUCACGAUUGGCGUCGCGUUGUUGCAGCGGGGAUGCGAAUCGGAGGGAGAUAUCUCUGGAGGAGAUGGUGUUGUUGCUACACAUUUGAACUUAUGUUGUUUGUAUUUGUCUCUAACAGCUUGCAAAGUGGCCCCUUUCCUACCAAGGUACAAGUCAUGUAUGUUUAGAACACAUUCCUUCAAAUCAGCAGGUUUAUAA
This is a non-coding RNA of Vicia faba (fava bean), 309 nucleotides long. The record is from the annotation of a GenBank genome assembly. NCBI's taxonomy places the organism in Eukaryota, Viridiplantae, Streptophyta, Magnoliopsida, Fabales, Fabaceae.